UACAGAGGGUGCAAGCGUUGUUCGGAAUUAUUGGGCGUAAAGCGCGUGUAGGCGGCCUUGCAAGUCGGGUGUGAAAGCCCUCAGCUCAACUGAGGAAGCGCGCCCGAAACUGCAGAGCUUGAGUACCGGAGAGGAUGGCGGAAUUCCCCAAGUAGAGGUGAAAUUCGUAGAUAUGGGGAGGAACACCGGUGGCGAAGGCGACCAUCUGGACGGAUACUGACGCUGAGACGCGAAAGCGUGGGGAGCAAACAGG
Molecule: ribosomal RNA, 253 nt
Filed under: uncultured bacterium
Lineage: Bacteria
Description: partial 16S ribosomal RNA
Rfam family: Bacterial small subunit ribosomal RNA
Source: RNAcentral